GCAACCUCAGCUCAGGCAAGAAUACCCGUUGAGUUUAAGCACAUAAUUAAGCAGAGGAAAAGAAACUUACAAGUAUUCCCCUGAUAGCGUCAAGCGAACAAGGAAGAGCCCAACAUGAAAAUUGGGCAACAAUGUUGCCUGAAUUGUAGUUUGUAGAAGUGUCCUCAAUGGCGAACCUAGGCCAUGUCCCUUCGAAGGGGCCACUUGAGAGGGUGAUAACCUUGUCAGGUUGGGACCCUUCCGCAUCACGAGGCAUUGCCGAAAAGUUGGUUUGUUUGGGAAUGCUACCCUAAUUUGGUGGAAAAUUCUAUCUAAGGCUAAAUACGUGCGAGAGACUGAUAGCAAAAAAGUACCGAGAAGGAAAGAUGAAAAGGACUUUGAAAAGAGAGUUAAAAAGUGCUUGAAAUUGCAAGGAGGGAAGUAGAUGGAAGAUGUCGAUGUGUCUUGAUUGGAUGUGGAAUGGCUCAAGCUGGUCCACCGCUCGACUUAAGGUGCAAACUAACAUGGGAUGUUGCAUCGUCACAAGUGUGGGUGGCUUACUGCCUGUUGGUUUUCCAUUGCGGUGGUCAAGGAACAAAGCAUCCACCCUUGUGGUGGGCUAUGUGGACCUGUGUGCUCAUUGUGUUGGUUUGCAAGUUUUCCAUUCGACCUAUUGUUAAACAUGGACCAAGGAGUCUAACAUGUGUGUCAGUUAGCGGGUGUGAAAACCUACAAGGUGCAAGGAAGCGGACAAGAAAGAUCCCGUCUCUAAGGGGGUGCAUUGUUGACCAACCUUGAGCUUAUGUGAAGGGUUCAAGUGCGAGCACACCUAUUAGGACCCAAAAGAUGGUGAAAUAUCCCUAAGUAGGGUGAAGUGAGAGGAAACAAUGGCGGAGGGUCGUAGAGAUACUGAAAUGAAAAUCGUUUGUCUGACUUGGGUAUAGGGGCAAAAGACUAAUCGAACCAUCUAGUAGCUAGUUUCCUCCGAAGCUUCCCUUAAGAUAGCUGGAGCUCACGCGCGAGUUUUAUCGAGUAAAGCAAAUGAUUAGAGGCAUUAAGGUCAUAAUGCCCUUGACCUAUUCUCAUACUUUAAAUAGGUAAGAGGUUAUGGCUACUCCAUUGAGUCGUCCCAUGGAGUCGAGAGCUCUAAGUGGGCCAUUUUUGGUAAGUAGAAUUGGUGAUGCAGGAUGAACCAAAAAUCACGUUACAACGAUGAAUUACAUGAUAACCUAGAUCCCACAAAGGGUGUUGGUUGAUUAAGACAACAUGACGAUGGUAAUGGAAGUCAAAAUCUGCUAAGGAGUGUGUAAAAACUCACCUACAGAAUCAACUAGCCCCAAAAAUGGUUGGCACUGAAGCGCGCAACCUAUACUCGACCAUCGAGACAUUUCCUAGCUUCAAUGAGUAGGAGGACAUGGUGGUCAUUGAGAGACCUCGAGCGUGAGCUUGGGUGGAUCGUCCCCCAAUUCCGAAUUUGGUGGUAGUAGCAAAUAUUCAAUUGAGAACUUUGAAGAUUGAAGUGGGGAAAGGUUCCAUGUGAAAAACACUUGUACAUGGGUUAGUUGAUCCUAAGAGAUGGGGAAGCCUUGUAUCAAGGGUGCACUCUGUAUGAGCAUUGAAAGGGAACCAGGUUAAUAUUCUCCAAUCAGAAAAUGGUGGCAGGCUACAAUGUUAUGAAAUCUAGAGACCCUAGAAUCAAUUCACCUAGAGAUAUUGUCCAACAAGUAGAAGAGCACUGCAUGUCUUGCAGUGUCUAGGGCGCCCUCAGCAGCCCUUGAAAAUUUGGAUGUCCGAGUAUCAUUCAUGCAUAGUCAUACUCAUUAUCGUAUUAGGUCUCCAAGGUGAACAACCUCUAGUCAAUAGAACAAUGUAGGUAAGGGAAGUUGGCAAAAAUAAUCCAUAACUUUGGGAAAAUUAUUGGAUCUGAGGGGUGGGCAUAGGGGUCUACACCCUUAACCCAUCCAUUGUCGGUAGUCUACCCGAGCUUCUCUCGCAACGAGGGCGGGUAGUCAUGUGCCGAUUGGGAUACGAGCAUAGAAUACUCCCUACUAGGUGAUUUUCCUUAGGUGACAAACAGUCGACUAAGAACUAGUAUAGGCAAGGGGAAUCCAAUUGUUUAAUUAAACCAAAGCAUUUUGAUGGUCUCUGUAGAUGCUGACACAAUGUGAUUUUUACCUAGUGCUCUGAAUGUCAAAGUGAAGAAAUUUAACCAAGCACAGGUAAAUGGUAGGAGUAUCUAUGACUCUCUUAAGGUAGAAAAAUGCCUCGUCAUCUAAUUAGUGACGUGCAUGAAUGGAUUAAUGAGACUCCCACUACCCCUAUCUACUAUCUAACGAAACCAUGGCCAAGGGAAAGGGCUUGGGAGAAUCGGCAGGGAAAGAUGACCAUGUUGAGCUUGACUCUAGUCCGACUUUGUGAAAUCACUUGAGAGCUGUAGAAUAAGUGGGAUUCAUUUUCAAUGUGAGUGAAAUACCACUACUUUUAAUGUUAUUUUAUUGAUUUCGUGGGGCAGAGAUGGGGCACUACCCCUAUUUUUGGCCUGAAGGCAUGUUUCAAUGGGUUGAUUCGGGCAGAAGACAUUUUCAGGUGGGGAGUUUGGUUGGGGUGACACAUCUGUUAAAAGAUAAUGCAGGUGUCCUAAUAUGAGCUCAAUCAAAACAUAAAUAUCAUGUGGAACAAAAGGGUAAAGCUCAUUUGAUUUUUAUUUUCAGUAGGAAUACAAACCAUGAAAGCAUCACCUAUCAAUCCUUUAGAUUUUAAAAAUUUGAAGCUAGAGGUGUCAAAAAAGUUACCACAAGGAUAACUAUCUUGUGGCAGCCACGUGUUCAUAGUGACAUUUCUUUUUUAUCCUUCGAUGUCGGCUCCUCCUAUCAUUAUGAAGAAGAAUUCACCAAGUGUUGGAUUGUUCACCCACCAAUAGGGAACAUGAGCUAGGUUUAGACCAUUUUGAGACAGGUUAGUUUUACCCUACUGAUGAACUACACCGCAAUAGUAACUCAACUUAGUAUGAGAGGAAUCAUUGAUUCACAUAAUUGGGUAUCGCACUUGGUUGAAAAGCCAAUAGUACAUAUUUACCGUUUGUCAGAUAAUGACUAAAUGCCUCUAAGUCAAAAUCCAUGCUAGAAGUGGUGCAUUUCACUUUUAGACUGUAUCUUGACCCAUAGUAGGGGUGUCGCUUUGUUGCACCCAAGGGCCCAUGUCAUUUGAAAACCGUGAGCAUGAAGCAUCUCUGUUGGGGAAGCUUUGAAGUUCAAUUCCAAAUGGUCGCUGAGAAGAAU
RNAcentral lists this ribosomal RNA (3257 nucleotides) under Pinus taeda (loblolly pine). RNAcentral describes it as "eukaryotic LSU rRNA". It matches the Rfam family "Eukaryotic large subunit ribosomal RNA". Lineage: Eukaryota; Viridiplantae; Streptophyta; Pinopsida; Pinales; Pinaceae. The record is from RNAcentral.